RNAcentral lists this ribosomal RNA (460 nucleotides) under uncultured Geothermobacter sp. Its description in RNAcentral is "bacterial SSU rRNA". It matches the Rfam family "Bacterial small subunit ribosomal RNA", at positions 923 to 1382 of the family's 1533-position model. Lineage: Bacteria; Pseudomonadati; Thermodesulfobacteriota; Desulfuromonadia; Desulfuromonadales; Geothermobacteraceae. The record is from RNAcentral.
GCACAAGCGGUGGAGCAUGUUGGUUUAAUUCGACGCAACGCGAAGAACCUUACCAGGGCUUGACAUCCCUGACCGCGUAUGAAAGUACGUUUUCACCCUCGGGUGACAGGGAGACAGGUGGUGCAUGGUUGUCGUCAGCUCGUGUCGUGAGAUGUUGGGUUAAGUCCCGCAACGAGCGCAACCCUUGUCCUUAGUUGCCACCAUUCAGUUGGGCACUCUAAGGAGACUGCCGGUGUUAAACCGGAGGAAGGUGGGGAUGACGUCAAGUCCUCAUGGCCCUUAUAUCCAGGGCUACACACGUGCUACAAUGGCCGGUACAAAGGGUCGCAAGACCGCGAGGUGGAGCCAACCCCAAAAAGCCGGUCUCAGUUCGGAUUGGAGUCUGCAACUCGACUCCAUGAAGUUGGAAUCGCUAGUAAUCGUGGAUCAGCAUGCCACGGUGAAUACGUUCCCGGGCCUU